AUGUUUUACAUGGAGAUACAUAAAGGGCGCGUUCGCAGUGAACACAGUCACCGGUCCGGCACUGCGCUCUUACAUUACUGCGAGAAUCAAUCCCGAAGAAAGAUGUUUCUGUUACUGCGACUGAUCCUCUGCUUCCACUAUGCGGGCUCCGUGACCAUACGCCAGACUCCGGAUUUCUCCGUAUCUCAGGGCAAGGAGGUGUUACUGGAAUGUACGGUAGAGGGUGGUAGCAGCAGCGGUGAUUACCUGUUCUGGUACAGACAAUACCCGGGAGAGGGGCUUCAGAACUUGUUUUACUCGAGUAUAGUUGGUUCCGAGCAUCCAGGUGGCUCGGUGGACGGGUUCACCGCCGACAGACCGAGUAGCAACGUCUUCAAGCUAAAGACUCCCAGUCUGUGGGCGAAUUCGUCGGCCGUGUAUUUCUGCGCCUGGAGGCUUCACGGCGGCUCAGACCGACGGAGCAGCUGA
This is a non-coding RNA of Pristis pectinata (smalltooth sawfish), 468 nucleotides long. The record is from the annotation of a RefSeq genome assembly. NCBI's taxonomy places the organism in Eukaryota, Metazoa, Chordata, Chondrichthyes, Rhinopristiformes, Pristidae.